RNAcentral lists this small nuclear RNA (93 nucleotides) under Echinops telfairi (small Madagascar hedgehog). Lineage: Eukaryota; Metazoa; Chordata; Mammalia; Afrosoricida; Tenrecidae. The record is from RNAcentral.
GUGCUCAUUUCAGCAGCACAUGCCCAGAAAAUGGAACAAUACAGAGGAGAUUAUCAGGGCUCCAUGCGAAUUCAUGAAGUGUUCCAUUUUUUG